Long non-coding RNA from Tympanuchus pallidicinctus (lesser prairie-chicken), 638 nucleotides. RefSeq lists it as uncharacterized. The transcript has 3 exons. The record is from RefSeq and is a predicted model, not a curated record. Lineage: Eukaryota; Metazoa; Chordata; Aves; Galliformes; Phasianidae.
AUCCCUCAGACCACGAGCACCGAGCCACGCUCUGAGCAAAACCGCUGUCAGCAGCGGCUCGAGUUUAGUCCUGGUUGUCCGCAGAGUGGGAUCAGCAAUGCCACCGCCAGAGGAUGGACAGCUCGGGGUGCGGAGGCUGCUUCUCUCAGUACCGUCGGGGGGGAACUCCGCGCGUCCAUUCAACGGAGUUAACACGAGGAAAAAAAAGCCUUUUUCCACCGCUCCGAGAAUUUCGCCCCCGUUGGACGGAGAGGAGUUGCGGGACAUUGCUGGAGAGUGGGGGUUCCUAAAGGGAAUUAAUUGAACGGCAGCCAGACUCUCUCCGCCCGCUUCUCUUGCCCGGCUGAGCCCCACGCAGCUCCCCGUGCCCCCCAUCCCUCCACCUGUCCCGACUCAGCCCCUCCGUGCUGCCAUCCCCGGCCACCCCAGGGGCCCCGAUCCGGCCGCCCCAUCCUAUGGUAGGGACCGUCCUUCGCUCGGCGCUGCUCAGGAGAAGAACUCGGAGCUGAAAACGGUGCGCUUACGAUAAAAUGAUAAUAACACAACAACAACGACGGCGACAAAAAUCUGAAAUAAAAUGAGGUAACCCUUUUGGAAUUACGUUUCCAUGCGUAUUUGUCAGUGCUGACGAAGCGCAG